CGGUUUGCGGAAACCCGGCUGCCCGGCGCCUCCGGCUCGCACGCGCUCCGAGCUCCCACGCCACAUCCCGCCCCAGGGAAGUGCCGCUCAAUCCUGACCCCAGCCUGGGGACCGAUCUGAGCUUGACUUCUGCCUCUGCUCCGCCCGCAGUCUCGGAACCGCACACCGCGGCCAGCAGGCCAGGACGUCGCUUGCAUCGCGCUGGGAUGUUCAAGGUGGCUCCAGUGGAUACAAUCUGAUUUUUCAUUUUGAAUCAUGAAAAGCACUUCUCAAAAAAAGCAUCUUUAAAUGAUUCAAAGUCUCCUUGCAAAUCCUGUUGGAACCUUGGAAAAGGCAGGAACCCAUCGGUCCUGCUUUCACCUUUGUGUGCAAGGAAUAGAUGUUUUCACAGAGAGUUGCUCAGAAGGAAACGAACUUCUUAAGCUGUUAAGCAACUAUUUUGGAGAAUGAUUUCUUAUCUUUUAACUGUAGAAGUCUUAUCCGAAUUUGCAAAACCAGAGCAUUUCAACUUUGGAACAACAUUCCAGAUCAUUGUAUUUUUAGUGACAGUAUUUCUGGGAAUAUUUCUUCAUAAUUUUUUUAAUCAUAUAGUUGCAAAAUGUGUGGCUUUUUUCUUAAGCUAGCAUAUUGCAUAAAAAAACCAGCCAAAAGUUGGCUUUUUUUUAAUUCAUCUUUUCUAUCUCAAAACCUAAAUGAAAUUAGUACAACUUUUAUGCUUGUACUAUUUGAAUUCUUAAAGACAUAGCUGAGUUUUUAAGGUUGUUUUGGCAUAAUGCAAAAACAUCUGGAUGUGAAAUGAAAAAUUUAGUCUGUCACCCAGGUUCCAGAUGUUUGGUACUAUGUAGACAAAACAUCAGGAUGAGUGACUGAAAUUUUUCCCUCCAAGCCAGAUGGUGUAGUGCCUGGUGCUUCUAUAAGGAAGCAUAUUUUCCUUUCUCUAAACAUCACAUCCUACUGUAUCUCACGUUAAGGAAUGAUUUACGCUCUUUCAUCGACAAAAUGCUGGGCCAUUUGGAGUGCAGCAAAGCAAUCCGUAAAUGAAACUCUAAGUAUAUGUUUUGGAAAAUGUAGUCCAAGUACAAGUUUUCAUGUGUACUUAGGAGGGAGUGGUGGUGGAGAAGCCAGAAAUGGGGAGGUAGGAAAGAGACAGCCUUGUUCAAUAGGGGAAUGACUAGAUUAAAAGGACAUAGCCUUCUAAGAAACCAUUUGUGGCAUUCUAUAAUCUUACCUGGGCUAAAGGUAGCAUUUAGCACUAGCCUGGACAGGCCUUCCUGUUGCCUGAGAUGCACUUGAAGUGUGAAAUACCAUUGGGUCCUCUGAAGCCCUCUUUUCCCUUUAUUCAUUCUUGAAACAUUAUAAAACAAGUAAAUGUAACAUAACCUUAAAACAUGGUUACUUAUGAGCAUUACACAGGUAGGCAAAUUCUGUGUUUGAAAAGUAAGCAAUAUGGUGAAUAUUUUAAUUGGUCAAAAAAUAUAUUGCCAAUGAACAAAUUUCUCUUCAUGUGAAAUGUCUUCACACAUUCACUUGGAGAUGAAGAGAAAGUAACAUUUCUUCCUUCCUAAAAGUUAACAGAGAUUUAAAGUCAUGAGCAGGGUCUGAGCUUUUCCAAGUGUCUUUGGCUUAGCCAUGUUGAGAAAGAAGGACAGAUAUAAGAGGCCUUCCACUAGAAUCAGCAGAUGAAAUCAACCCAGAAUGAAUUCCAUUCUACUUAUUAACCUUACACGCUCACUGGGUUAUAGAAGAGUGUUUAGAUAAUGAAUGGCAGUGAAUGUUAAAACAUCAUAAAAUUUGACCACAUAACAAUUGCUGCAAGAAAAACAUACCAUUUUGAAUAGACCUUCUUAUAACUCAGAAUCUGAGACUCAGAUAAUAAGACCCACAAUUUCAAUACUGGCCCCAAAUCAAUUUUUAAAAAUAGCUUACAGGGAUCUAGUAGCGUUUCGGGGGUACACAUAUUGAGUCAUCAAGAGCCUCAAAAGUCAAAAAGGAAUCUUGAACACUAUAUAAAACAGAAUCACAGUUAUUUUUCUUGAUUGCUAUAAUUGGGAUGUUUUCAUGACCUUUUUUGUGAUGCAUUUAUUAGAAUAAUAAAAUGAAAGAGCUGAAAUGACCUUAGAGCUCAUCCUUUUACAGAUGAAUAAAUUGGGGAUCAAAAACAUUAAAGGACCUACCCAAGGUCACACACUGAUUAGUGGUAAAGUCAGCUUGCCUUCAGAACAUUACCACUCAGAGUCACAGAUUUCUGAGUAGUGUUCAAGAAACCGACACCCAUCACUACAAGCUGGAGACAGCUCAAAAUCAUUCAGUCAUGUUACACAUUUAAGAACUAUAAAACAAAGCCAGCAUGAAGGCAGAGUUCCCCCAUUUGUCUCCAUAGUAAGAUGGACUAUUGCAAAACAGAGCUAAUAAAACUUGGGCACUUCAACAAUUUGGCUAGUGGGCCUGAUAACAACAAAUGACAGCUGAGCUUUUUAUAGAGAACUUGAAGCACCUUGGAAGAAUGCCAUCCACACAAACUGCUACAGUCUUUUUUUUUUUUUUUUGGAAAAUAACAUAUUCAGACAUUCAAAAUAAGUGACUUUGAUGGGGAGGAGGAGGUGGCUGUAGCCAUGUCAACCCCAUUCUUUACAGAGGAAGACAAGGUAUCCCACCUGACUCACAGCUGUCUUAGCUCCCUGUUCCAGUGGCUUGUAUGAUGAAAUGGAAGAUUAGGAUGCAUUGGAUCAUCAUUUGGGCUAUUCCCCUGAAGUCAAGCAUGAAAUCUAUUUAGCUGGAGAGCUACCCAUUUCCUCUGACCUGCAGAAGAAAUGCCCUGUUCUUUCAGAAUCGCUGGAAUGCCAGAAUCCGAAGAAAACUGGAGCCACAUGCCUGGGCCCCUUGAGGUCCUCUCAUCCCUACUCCAUGCCAAAGGAACAUGCUGGCAGAAAUGGAGCAGACUUACAGCGCUACUUGACCCAGAAGCACAGCUGCUGAUUCAUCAGCAGAGGUCAUUGUGUGACUUUAAGUUGCUAUGGAUUUAAGACUGUCUCUUAUCAACUGGAGUAUUUAAAUCUCUUUUGUCCCUGGGACCUUUUGGGCAGUUUUGUAAAGACCUAUAGGCGCCUCAGAAAAAAUGUUCUUAAAUGCCCAAAUGAUACUGAAAUCAAGUUAUCAGAAUAUUUUAAAGAAACAAAUUUAUGAGCUAGUAUUAUAUUUGCUUUCUUAUUUAACCCAUUAAAUGCAAAAUCUUGUGGUGGGUCUAAUAAAUUAUAUAAUAUUGAAAUAGGGAUAAGUGUGAAUAAUAGUUCAAACUUAUCAACAAUUAUAAUGUGAUAUGAAGGGAUCUGUGAUUUCUAU
Molecule: long non-coding RNA, 3339 nt
Organism: Dama dama (fallow deer)
Lineage: Eukaryota; Metazoa; Chordata; Mammalia; Artiodactyla; Cervidae
Exons: 3
Source: RefSeq, a predicted model, not a curated record